UGUGGAUCAAGGCUGGAGGAUGACAAGCUCCUGACUGAUAGAUACAUGGAGACUUCGCUGGUGAUUUAUUGGCUUUCUGCACCUGACGAGAACCACUAGGCCUAUCUGAGGAGGGAAAUAUAUGGGCUUUCCUGACUCCAAGUGGCAGCCCCGGGGCGAGCAUGUGAUGUCAAGCUGGGCAGAGGAAAGCGGAGCUGUGCACCGGCCUGUGUACUGUAAGCCGGCCCGGGUCGUAAAAGUGUCAGCACGCGAUAUAUUUCUUGCAGGGGAUCCUCUCUGGCUCUUGCCAGCGCCUCUCCCCCGUGGCUGGCAGCCGCCCUAGCCGGGCCUGCAAACAGCGGAUGCCCCAGGUCGCUAUCCCUCCGCCCUGCCCCGGAGCGCCGGGCCCUCACGUUCUCGCUCCAGCCUGGGGUCUCUCACGUGGCAUCUGGCCCUGGGGACGGUGCAGCGGAGGAGUUAAUUGCUGUCACUCCUGACUUCAGCGAAAGAGGUCGAUCGUGGGGCUUCUUCCUCGGGGUUAGCAGGGGCCUGGAGUGGAUGUUUAGUCUACCGGUCAGACUCCAGGUCUUAUAUCUUGAAACUGUAAGUCCCUGAAUUCACAGACAAUUCAGAGUAAGGAUGGAGGCAAAGAAGAGGACCUUGGGUUUACUGUUCACGAGAUGACCUCAUAAAGGUGUUCAGUGAUGAAGAGGAGUGGCUGAAGAGAUGGCUGUCUAGAGUCAACACAAACCUACCCCAAAGUUUGACCUUUGCCUUAAGUCAGUAACUGAGGAGGGCCACGGUCCUGAGUUCAGUCCAGACCCCAGGAAGAUUCAGAGCCUGCAGUUGUCCUCUGGUUUCUAAAGUAUGUUAUUGGGCUAAAGAUUUCAAGACAUUUAUCCUUCUUUGCUUUCUAUCGCAGCCAUUAAAUGUUUUAGAUAUUUUCUGCCAGAAGGCAGGAAUCAUGAAGAUAACAAAUAUUAAAGACAAAACCAAAUAACUUUUAAUGAGAAGGUCAGUCCGUGGUUUGAGUCUUUGGAAAGAAAUCAAGAACUCUGACUAUACUUGCUAUUUGACCAUUGAUUCUCUAGUGGAAAUGGGCAAAUCUUUUAUACCAGGGCAAAUUUUUCAGUAACGGGCCAGACAGCAAAUAUUUUAGGAAUUGUGGGCCAUACAGUCUCUCUCCCAACUACUUAACUCUUCAGCAUAGCAUAAAAGCAGCCAUAAACAAUACUACAACAAGUAUGGCUGCAUUCCAAUAAAACUUUAUUUACAAAAAUAGGCAGCACGCCAGAUUUGGCCCACAAGCUAUAGCUUUCUGACCCCUGCUUUGCCAAACUCAAUAACAAACAGAGAGGGAGACUCUUUUAAAAAAAUUAUAUUCAUUUGGGAGUAGCAUUGCAAUGGGAAUACGUGUGCCAUAGCAAAUUAUGAGCGUAUUCAAAGAGAUUGGGGCAAGGGGAAGUUUAUAAAGGCAAAACGAAGAGGAUUACAAUUGUUCAAAUCAAUUAUCCUUGGCUACAAGGGUGGCACAAGUCCAAGCUUGAACAGGCAGUUGCUAGACAGACAUCCUUACAGAAGUAUUUUCUGUGUAAGGUUGCAGUGGUCUUUUUGCAAAGCUAUAGUAAAUCACAGGGGUCAGUACAACCGUAGUGCAAUGGAUAAGCCUUGCCCUCGGAAAAUCUUCGUGAUCAUGGUAUCUCCCCUGCCAAAUAAAUAUUGUGACAGUUCUUAUCAGGCAUUCAUGUGUAAGAACUCUCCCUUGAUGGCCUUCCCUGGCUCCAUUUGCCAGGGUUUUAACAUAAAUUACUCCAUUUUGAUUCGGACAACUUUCAUAACUGCUUACCAUCUGUGCCUCUGUGUAUAAAAGUGGACAUACUAAAAUUUUUCCUUAGGGCUACAACUAAACAUCCAGCCUAGCCCUUAGCCAGCACCAAGGAAGAGGCCUGGGGGAUAGAGGAACAAAUAAUGAGACCAAGUCAGGCCAUCCCCCAUGGGGUGAGGCCUGCAGGUAGGUGGGCCCAGUGUGGUGUACCUCUAGCACAGUGCCUGGCACAAAAUUGCAGUUUAUUUUCUGAAUAAAUAACUCUUGGAUCAAUUGGUUGCUCUCUGGGAAUGUGACUUUGCUGUUGAGUUGUGCAGAGUACUCUCUGUCUCCAAGCCAAUCCCAGCUUCAGUAUCUCACCCCACAAUCCACAUUUCCCAGUGUCUGGAGUAACAACAAUGACCUGGGGCUGGGCUCUCAGCAAGUCAAACCCUGCCUCAACAAACCCAAACUGCUUUGGGGACCAAUGUGAUGCAAAUGUGUACUGAAUCCCCUGAAUUCCCCCUGGUGAUCCUGUCCUGUAACAGGCCCUCCCCAUCCCCUCAGGCCAGUGCAUUCAGGAAAUCAGUGACCACAGGAUGGUUUCUCAGCUGGAGGGAAGGUCAGCCUGCAUCUGAGCAUCUUAGAACAUGUUAUUUUGUUCCCACUGGUCAAUCCCGUCCAAGCUGUACACAUAGUGCCUAAGCCACGUUUGUUACUGCAGGCCUGUCUUCGGAAAGGUCACUGAACAGAAGGAGGAGGC
This 2546-nucleotide long non-coding RNA is filed under the name Homo sapiens (human). RNAcentral describes it as "HSALNT0295010". The record is from RNAcentral. Lineage: Eukaryota; Metazoa; Chordata; Mammalia; Primates; Hominidae.